Non-coding RNA from Podarcis lilfordi (Lilford's wall lizard), 81 nucleotides. The record is from the annotation of a GenBank genome assembly. NCBI's taxonomy places the organism in Eukaryota, Metazoa, Chordata, Lepidosauria, Squamata, Lacertidae.
GCAUGCUCAUAGUCACAGAACGUUGAAAAGAGCAUCUGCCUUGCAUGGAGAAGGUCCCAGGUUUGAUCCCUGGUAUCUCCA